UAUUGCACAAUGAGCGAAAGCCUGAUGCAGCAACGCCGCGCGAGUGAUGAAGGCCUUCGCGUCGUAAAGCUCUUUGACCAGGGAUGAUAACGACAGUACCUGAAAACCAAGACACGGCCAACUACGUGCCAGCAGCCGCGGUCAUACGUAGGUGGGGAGCGUUGUCCGGAAUUACUGGGCGUAAAGGAUGCGUAGGUGGAUACUUAAGUGGGAUUUGAAAUCCCCUGGCGCCACCCGGGAACUGCAUACCAAACUGAGUAUCUAGAGUGCAGGAGAGGAAAGCGGAAUUCCUAAUGUAGCGUUGAAAUGCGUAGAUAUUAGGAGAAACACCAGUGAAGAAGGCGGCUUUCUGGACUGUAACUGACACUGGGGCAUGAAAGCGUGGGGAGCAAACAGG
Molecule: ribosomal RNA, 397 nt
Filed under: uncultured bacterium
Lineage: Bacteria
Description: partial 16S ribosomal RNA
Rfam family: Bacterial small subunit ribosomal RNA
Source: RNAcentral